GAUGAACGCUAGCUACAGGCUUAACGCAUGCAAGUCGAGGGGUAACGAGAGGGAAGCUUGCUUUCCUUGUCGACGACCGGCGCACGGGUGAGUAACGCGUAUCCAACCUGCCCCCAACUAAGGAAUAACCUUGCGAAAGUAAGACUAAUACCUUAUAAUUUCCUCAGAUGACAUCUGACGAGGAAUAAAGAUUUAUCGGUUGUGGAUGGGGAUGCGUCUGAUUAGCUUGUUGGCGGGGUAACGGCCCACCAAGGCAAUGAUCAGUAGGGGUUCUGAGAGGAAGGUCCCCCACAUAGGAACUGAGACACGGUCCAAACUCCUACGGAAGGCAGCAGUGAAGAAUAUUGGUCAAUGGGCGGAAGCCUGAACCAGCCAAGUAGCGUGCAGGAUGACGGCCCUAUGGGUUGUAAACUGCUUUUAUACAGGAAUAAAGUUAGCCACGUGAGGUUAUUUGUAGGUACUGUAUGAAUAAGGACCGGCUAAUUCCGUGCCAGCAGCCGCGGUAA
This 506-nucleotide ribosomal RNA is filed under the name uncultured bacterium. RNAcentral describes it as "partial 16S ribosomal RNA". It matches the Rfam family "Bacterial small subunit ribosomal RNA", at positions 28 to 523 of the family's 1533-position model. The record is from RNAcentral.